GGGCGUUAAGUUGCAGGGUAUAGACCCGAAACCCGGUGAUCUAGCCAUGGGCAGGUUGAAGGUUGGGUAACACUAACUGGAGGACCGAACCGACUAAUGUUGAAAAAUUAGCGGAUGACCUGUGGCUGGGGGUGAAAGGCCAAUCAAACCGGGAGAUAGCUGGUUCUCCCCGAAAGCUAUUUAGGUAGCGCCUCGUGAAUUCAUCUCCGGGGGUAGAGCACUGUUUCGGCUAGGGGGCCAUCCCGGCUUACCAACCCGAUGCAAACUGCGAAUACCGGAGAAUGUUAUCACGGGAGACACACGGCGGGUGCUAACGUCCGUCGUGAAGAGGGAAACAACCCAGACCGCCAGCUAAGGUCCCAAAGUCAUGGUUAAGUGGGAAACGAUGUGGGAAGGCCCAGACAGCCAGGAUGUUGGCUUAGAAGCAGCCAUCAUUUAAAGAAAGCGUAAUAGCUCACUGGUCGAGUCGGCCUGCGCGGAAGAUGUAACGGGGCUAAACCAUGCACCGAAGCUGCGGCAGCGACGUUUAUGCGUUGUUGGGUAGGGGAGCGUUCUGUAAGCCUGCGAAGGUGGCCUGUGAGGGUUGCUGGAGGUAUCAGAAGUGCGAAUGCUGACAUAAGUAACGAUAAAGCGGGUGAAAAGCCCGCUCGCCGGAAGACCAAGGGUUCCUGUC
Molecule: ribosomal RNA, 673 nt
Filed under: Salmonella enterica subsp. enterica serovar Bovismorbificans
Lineage: Bacteria; Pseudomonadati; Pseudomonadota; Gammaproteobacteria; Enterobacterales; Enterobacteriaceae
Description: partial 23S ribosomal RNA
Rfam family: Bacterial large subunit ribosomal RNA
Source: RNAcentral